UACGUAGGUGACAAGCGUUGUCCGGAUUUACUGGGCGUAAAGAGCGCGCAGGCGGUCGUUCAAGUCGAGUGUGAAAGCCCCCGGCUCAACUGGGGAGGGUCAUUCGAUACUGAUCGACUCGAAGGCAGGAGAGGGAAGUGGAAUUCCCGGUGUAGUGGUGAAAUGCGUAGAUAUCGGGAGGAACACCAGUGGCGAAGGCGACUUCCUGGCCUGUUCUUGACGCUGAGGCGCGAAGGCGUGGGGAGCGAACGGG
Molecule: ribosomal RNA, 253 nt
Filed under: uncultured bacterium
Lineage: Bacteria
Description: partial 16S ribosomal RNA
Rfam family: Bacterial small subunit ribosomal RNA
Source: RNAcentral